Non-coding RNA from Podarcis lilfordi (Lilford's wall lizard), 151 nucleotides. Lineage: Eukaryota; Metazoa; Chordata; Lepidosauria; Squamata; Lacertidae. The record is from the annotation of a GenBank genome assembly.
UGUGUGUGUGUGUGUGUGUGUGUGUGUGUGUUGGAGAAUGUGAGCACUCAGCCUUCUGGUAUCCAUGGUGCUGGCGCUUGGCCUUCUCAGGUGGCCUAAAAUAUUCCCCGUUUUUUGUUCCUAUGUACACACACACACACACACACAAACC